This is a long non-coding RNA of Dermochelys coriacea (leatherback sea turtle), 1242 nucleotides long. RefSeq lists it as uncharacterized. Lineage: Eukaryota; Metazoa; Chordata; Testudines; Dermochelyidae. The record is from RefSeq and is a predicted model, not a curated record. The transcript is spliced from 3 exons.
UCAUUUAAUUGGCAGAAAGCCAAGGAUUUCUAAGAUAGAGCCUUGACAAAAGCAGAGUAGGGUGAGGUCAUAACUCUGAUGUAAACAACGGUAGUGAGCAUGUGCAGAAAGAAAAAAAAUGCUUGACAAUGAACAUGUGCAGUACAAAAUUAGAUGAAAGGAUAUUGGCAGGAAGCCAGGGAGAGAACAAACAGCUCCAGUCUGGGCUAAUGUGGGGCUGCUUUUUCUGGCAGCAGCAAACAUUCCCAGACAAAGACCUGACAGUGAGGACAGUAUAAAAGGCAAACAAUCAGCAGGCACAGGUCAGUUAGGUGCUGGUGAGAAGAGCUGCUGGAAAGGAGUUAGAAGAGUGGCUGCUGGAGAAAAGAAAAGAACAGAUUCAAAGCUACAACAGUACAGAGCAAGAGAAGCUGCUGAGAGUGAGCCAAGAGGCAACAAUAGCUGACUAAGUAGCUAUAGUAAUAGUAGCAGCAAUCAGCAGCUACAGUAAACAACACAGCGGAAUCAACAGAUAGUAUUAUAUAAAGAGUGUUUCAGAAAAAAAUGCUACCAUUGAUGUCAUGAAGGCAAAUUGGUAUAAAAAGGAAGUCUCAUUGACCAACCAAUUCACAGAAUGAUUCAAAUGAUAUGAAAGACACAUUCUGCUUUGGAAAAUACACCAAUAUAUUUGAAGACUUACAGUACAAGAAACUCAUCACGGUCAUAAGGAAGGUGGCAUAAUUUCAGCAAGUCAACAAGGGUUUAUGGAAAACAGAUCUUAUCAAACUAACUUUUUUUAAAAAUGAGAUUACAGGUUUGGUUGAUAAAGGUAGUAUUGUUGAUGUGAUAUAUUUAGACUUCUAUAAGGCACUUCAUUCAGUAUCACACAGCAUUUUAACUAGAAAACCUUCACUGAUAUAAAAUGAACAUUGCACAUAUUAAGUGAAUUAAGAACUGGCUAAUAGCUCUCAAAAUAUAAUUGUAAAUGGGGAAUCAUUAUUGAAUGGGUGUGCUUCUCAUCAGGCCCAACAAGGAUCGGUUCUUGGGUGUAUGCUAUUUAACAAUUAUUAAUGACCUUGGAGAAAACAUAAAAUCGUCACUGAUAAGUUUUGCAGAUGACUCAAAAAUCAGGGAAGUAGUAAAUAAAGAAGAGGACAGAUCACUGAGGCAGAGCAAUAUAGAUUGCUUGGUAAACUGGGUGAAAACAAUACAUGUUUUAAUAUGGCUAAAUGUAAAUGUAGACCUCUAGGAACAAAGAUUGUA